CCAGCCAUGCCGCGUGAGUGAUGAAGGCCUUAGGGUCGUAGAGCUCUUUCGCCUGUGAAGAUAAUGACUGUAGCAGGUAAAGAAACCCCGGCUAACUCCGUGCCAGCACCCGCGGUAAUACGGAGGGCGUUAGCGUUGUUCGGGAAUUACUGGGGCGUAAAGCGCGUCGUAGGCGGGACUGGAAAGUUGGGGGUGAAAUCCCACGGGCUCAACCCUGGAACUGCCUCCAAAACUAUCAGUCUAGAGUUCGAGAGAGGUGAGUGGAAUUCCGAGUGUAGAGGUGAAAUUCGUAGAUAUUCGGAGGAACCCAGUGGCGAAGGCGGCUCACUGACUCGAUACUGACGCUGAGGUGCGAAAGUGUGGGGAGCAAACAGGAAUAGAUACCCUGG
RNAcentral lists this ribosomal RNA (389 nucleotides) under uncultured marine bacterium. RNAcentral's name for it is "bacterial SSU rRNA". It matches the Rfam family "Bacterial small subunit ribosomal RNA", at positions 388 to 790 of the family's 1533-position model. The record is from RNAcentral.